Molecule: ribosomal RNA, 317 nt
Filed under: Amanita aff. vaginata 68-19
Lineage: Eukaryota; Fungi; Basidiomycota; Agaricomycetes; Agaricales; Amanitaceae
Description: eukaryotic LSU rRNA
Rfam family: 5.8S ribosomal RNA (bases 1-105)
Source: RNAcentral
GAAAUGUGAUAAGUAAUGUGAAUUGCAGAAUCCAGUGAAUCAUCGAAUCUUUGAACGCAUCUUGCGCUCCUUGGUAUUCUGAGGAGCAUGCCUGUUUGAGUGUCAACUAAACUAUCAAAACACAACUCUUGAUUGAUGAUGUGUUUUUGGACUUUGGGACUGUGCURGCUGUGCCCAGCUGUCCUCAAAAGAAUUCAUUGGCUUUGGAGAUGCAACAGUGUUGAUAAGUUGUCUAUGCUGGUAUUGCAUCUCUUUGCUUCUAGAAGAUUUUAUGAUCGUUUGACCUCAAAUCAGGUAGGAUUACCCGCUGAACUUAA